Molecule: ribosomal RNA, 253 nt
Filed under: uncultured bacterium
Lineage: Bacteria
Description: partial 16S ribosomal RNA
Rfam family: Bacterial small subunit ribosomal RNA
Source: RNAcentral
GACGAAGGUGGCUAGCGUUAUUCGGAUUCACUGGGCAUAAAGCGCGCGUAGGCGGCUCUUCAAGUCGGGGGUGAAAUCCUGGAGCUCAACUCCAGAACUGCCUUCGAUACUGAGGAUCUCGAGUCCGGGAGAGGUGAGUGGAACUGCGAGUGUAGAGGUGAAAUUCGUAGAUAUUCGCAAGAACACCAGUGGCGAAGGCGGCUCACUGGCCCGGUACUGACGCUGAGGUGCGAAAGCGUGGGGAGCAAACAGG